Long non-coding RNA from Schistocerca cancellata (South American locust), 268 nucleotides. RefSeq lists it as uncharacterized. The transcript has 3 exons. Lineage: Eukaryota; Metazoa; Arthropoda; Insecta; Orthoptera; Acrididae. The record is from RefSeq and is a predicted model, not a curated record.
GUCCGCGGCAGGGUCAUCUCAACUGUGUUGUUGUCGCUCCUGUGUGUAUGUGGCGAAAAAACAAAGUGAUCAGUGGCAACAACUGGCAGUGGCAGCGAACGUCUGAGGCAAUGGGAAUUACCUGUUGUUUCAGGAUACAUCCACCAAAUCGUGAGAAACUGGAGGAAUAGGUUCAACAGCGGCAGCGGCAAUAUCAUCAUGAUAUAGGGGAGUAGGACAGAUGGAUCUUCCCAAAUUCAGGCGAGUGUGUAACGCGACCGUGGGUGAA